GCCUUUGUGGUGUAAUGGUCAGCACACUUGGCUCGUAUUCGAGAGGUCCGAGAUUCGAGUUCCGGAGUGGGCA
Molecule: transfer RNA, 73 nt
Filed under: Stegodyphus mimosarum
Lineage: Eukaryota; Metazoa; Arthropoda; Arachnida; Araneae; Eresidae
Rfam family: tRNA
About the family: Transfer RNA (tRNA) molecules are approximately 80 nucleotides in length.
Source: Rfam by way of RNAcentral